AGACCUAUGGCUCAGUGGUGGAGCACUUGCCUGGCAUUCAAAGGAAGCCCUGGGUUCCAUCCCCAAUAAAUUUA
RNAcentral lists this transfer RNA (74 nucleotides) under Heterocephalus glaber (naked mole-rat). It matches the Rfam family "tRNA". From Rfam's summary of the family: Transfer RNA (tRNA) molecules are approximately 80 nucleotides in length. Their secondary structure includes four short double-helical elements and three loops (D, anti-codon, and T loops). The record is from Rfam by way of RNAcentral. Lineage: Eukaryota; Metazoa; Chordata; Mammalia; Rodentia; Bathyergidae.